Molecule: unclassified non-coding RNA, 329 nt
Filed under: soil metagenome
Description: partial contains 5.8S ribosomal RNA, internal transcribed spacer 2, and large subunit ribosomal RNA
Rfam family: 5.8S ribosomal RNA (bases 1-120)
Source: RNAcentral
GAUGAAGAACGCAGCGAAAUGCGAUAAGUAAUGUGAAUUGCAGAAUUCAGUGAAUCAUCGAAUCUUUGAACGCACAUUGCGCCCUCUGGUAUUCCGGGGGGCAUGCCUGUUCGAGCGUCAUUAUAACCACUCAAGCUCUCGCUUGGUAUUGGGGUUCGCGGUUUCGCGGCCCCUAAAAUCAGUGGCGGUGCCUGUCGGCUCUACGCGUAGUAAUACUCCUCGCGAUUGAGUCCGGUAGGUCUACUUGCCAGCAACCCCUAAUUUUUUAAGGUUGACCUCGGAUCAGGUAGGGAUACCCGCUGAACUUAAGCAUAUCAAUAAGCGGAGGA